Long non-coding RNA from Corythoichthys intestinalis (scribbled pipefish), 2532 nucleotides. RefSeq lists it as uncharacterized. The transcript is spliced from 4 exons. NCBI's taxonomy places the organism in Eukaryota, Metazoa, Chordata, Actinopteri, Syngnathiformes, Syngnathidae. The record is from RefSeq and is a predicted model, not a curated record.
ACAGCAAAUUAGUUGCGUUUACCUUAGUACCAACUUUUCCCCGCUUUUAUAGUUUUAUUGCUGCACAGAGAUUGUGUUCCCAAAACAUCAAAUCAUAAAGAUGAAUUAUGCCAUUACAAAAAUCUAAUGCAAACACCAUUUUUUCACUCCAGGUUUACCUUUUACUUAAGAAGCAAUUCUUUACUGAUGACAGUAGUAAACAAAAGUUGUUAUUAGGCAUUUAUCAGGAAUAACUUACACACACAAAAUACAUAUAAUUGUAACUGUACUAGUUGUAUGAUCGGGCAAUAACAUGACCCAAUCAAGUCAAUUUUUUUUCUCCAAUGUGUUUUUCUGUGCAUUUGGGGGGGCUGCCUGCACUUUAAUUGCUCACUUAGUAGGUCGAUUUUAUUUUUAAUUUUUUUGUUGUUUUUUGCUCACCUCUUCAGUUCUUACCAUUUCCUCCAGUCGAUCUUGAUGAGCUUUUGCAGAACACGAUCCCCCGAUUGAUGAACGAGGGAGUUAUUUUAUCGCAUCCAGGGCCGAUUCUCAUUUUCGUGAAAAGCAUAAAUCCUGCAACAACAAAAAGCGACGAGAAUUAGUAUCACCCUCGCUGCACAGUGUAAACAUUGGAGGCGUGUUAAAACACGCCAAACAACAGAGGAACUUGGGGAAGGCGCCUGCAAUUGGCAACAGAGAAAAGUAGGAGGAAACAGCCAACAUUUCUAAAGUGCAUAAUUCACCCCGGCAUUCUAAUUUCAACUAGCCCGUUGUGUUGGAGAGGAGAAACUGCCCCAAGCCAACGUUAGCCAUCGUCUAUACGUCGACAUAAAGCAACAGCGGGCUGCACUUUUGCACGUCAACCGCAGCUUUGGAACAUUUGGAGUGGAGAAUUUCCACAUAAAAAUGUGCUUACCUGGCCAUUCAGAGCGUAAAAGAUGGAUGCGGCCUGUCACGCCUUCUCCGAGCCGAGCUAGCUAUUAGCUCGAAGCUAGCAGCUAGCGCUGACUUCCGUUAGUGCGUGUUAUUUUCCAGUGUUUAGACGGAGCCAUUUUCACUAACGCCGAGCCAAAAGGCUAAAGCGGGUCCGGCCACCCUCCCGUCUGUCUCCCUCCGCGCGGAAAACAAUCACCGACGGAUAACGCCGUCGUCCUUCCGCAAGACACUCGAGCUUCAACGGGGAACGAGGAAGGAGUUUGCAACCCUAGCCGGAGGAAAAUGUUGGAAUGGUGGUGGGCGCUAAUUAUUUUGGGGUUAAAAAAAGUGAGUGACGUGUGCUCCCCAAACAUCGGUCCUUUCCGGCCCUCCUAAUGUUUCCGGGUAGCGGCAGCAGCGAGGCAAAUCGGUCGACUCUGGGCUGCUGAUUUACUCAGGACGCACUGCUUUUUUCACUUUUGACUAAUCCCUCAUUUGGUCACACAUCACUUCUUCACUUCAGUAAAUCAAAUAAAUACUAGUCCUUCUCAAAAAAAUUAGCAUAUUGUGAUAAAGUUCAUUAUUUUCUGUAAUGUACGGAUAAACAUUAGACUUUCAUAUAUUUUAGAUUCAUUACACACAACUGAAGUAGUUCAAGCCAUUUAUUGUUUUAAAGGGUAUGAAAACGCAAAGGGGGUGUGAGACAUCAAUAGAACCGUUAUGUGCCAAGAUAACAAAUAUUGAUAAAGUUAACAAAAAAAUCAAUCACAUUAAUGAGCAAUUAUCGAAAAUAGAUCGAAAAUGACAAACAUUUCCGAAAGUGUUCCGGAAACAGCCGAAUGGGCCGGAGACGUCAUAACAAGGAAACAAAAGGUCGAGGCAGGUUCCAUCGUUGUUUAUCGACGAGAGAGUUGCGUUCGUGUUUUAUCAAAAAAUCGCUAAAAUGGUUCAAACCUGUCAUGCUAUGUGGUUUACAAUAGCCAUUUGUCGCAAUGUAGUCCCAUGAGUUCCCGAACGCGAGAAAAAGAGCUGGACUACGCAGACAAUGAGUAAAGUUCGUCAGUGCUUAGAGGGCUAAUUUUGCAGACCCAGCCUCCGGCACGGUUUUAUGUGGUGUGCAUUUUACACCUGAAAGCUAUACGAACUAUGGGCAAAUGAAAUCAGGUUUUGCUCAGAAAUUGCUGCUGAAAGCAGAUGCGGUGCCCGGUGAAAGAGGACGAGGACUGGCUCUGAUGAGACCACCUCACCACCCCAGGCAAAGCAAAGGAGGGAAAUGGCCAGAGUAACCAUUCAGGAUCGCUGUUUCGUGACGCUACCGAUGGCAAAGGCUCCCAGGAAAGAUGAACUACAAUUAAUCCCUACAUGUUUGAACCUGAGUCGUCAGAUGACGACGAUUUGCUUGACACAGCAGAUGUCUUCAUGACGCCAAUUGACAGGUCGACACUUCACGAACGGGAGAGUGAGUGCUAAAACUGGAUAUUAGGUAAUGGGACAGCUCCUACCGGUCUAAAUAUGGUGUUGCUGUAAACCGUCAAGUAAUUACCCUUCCAAGAGUAUGCCUGUGUCGUCAGGAGAUCCCAGACGUGAGAGCCAAACUUGAGGCUGAAGCACUGACAGGGGCAUGAAUUACAUUAAAAA